GACGAACGCUGGCGGCGUGCCUAAUACAUGCAAGUCGAACGCUGAAGGAGGAGCUUGCUUCUCUGGAUGAGUUGCGAACGGGUGAGUAACGCGUAGGUAACCUGCCUGGUAGCGGGGGAUAACUAUUGGAAACGAUAGCUAAUACCGCAUAAUAGUAGAUGUUGCAUGACAUUUGCUUAAAAGGUGCAAUUGCAUCACUACCAGAUGGACCUGCGUUGUAUUAGCUAGUUGGUGGGGUAACGGCUCACCAAGGCGACGAUACAUAGCCGACCUGAGAGGGUGAUCGGCCACACUGGGACUGAGACACGGCCCAGACUCCUUCGGGAGGCAGCAGUAGGGAAUCUUCGGCAAUGGACGGAAGUCUGACCGAGCAACGCCGCGUGAGUGAAGAAGGUUUUCGGAUCGUAAAGCUCUGUUGUAAGAGAAGAACGAGUGUGAGAGUGGAAAGUUCACACUGUGACGGUAUCUUACCAGAAAGGGACGGCUAACUACGUG
This 495-nucleotide ribosomal RNA is filed under the name uncultured bacterium. RNAcentral describes it as "partial 16S ribosomal RNA". It matches the Rfam family "Bacterial small subunit ribosomal RNA", at positions 28 to 507 of the family's 1533-position model. The record is from RNAcentral.